Molecule: long non-coding RNA, 1617 nt
Organism: Piliocolobus tephrosceles (Ugandan red Colobus)
Lineage: Eukaryota; Metazoa; Chordata; Mammalia; Primates; Cercopithecidae
Source: Ensembl
UAAAUAAAUAAAUAAAUAAAUAAAUAAUAAUAAUAAUAAUAAUAAUAAUAUUAAUAAUAUAUAUUUGCAUAAAUAUAUAAAUAGCUUAGCAAAAAUAAAUAACAUUCAACAAGAAAAAAAAAAAAAGAGAUUCGCAUAUAUAGUGCUAAAAAAAAAAAAUAAAAUAAAAUAAUUAAUAAAAUAAAAAUAUGAUUUUAUAAUAAAUUUUUAUAUAAAAAUAAUAUCUAUAUAUGAAUGCAAUAAUAUAUAUUUUUUUUUUUUUUCUUUUUUUUUUUUUUUUUAAUUAUUAAAAAGUUUUUAUGAUUUGAAAAAAAAAUUAUAUUUUAAAAAAUAAUUUAGUAUAAGAAAUAAAGUAAUUUUUUUCAUAUAACUUAAUUUUAUUUUAUUAUAUUUUUUUCAUUGAAUUAAGAAAAAUAAUAAUAUUUAUAUUUAAUUUAAAAAGUUAGUAUUAUUAGAUAAGCUACCCAAAAAGUAAAAAUAAGAAAAGUAAUAAAAAUAAUGAAAAAAUAUAACUAAUAAAAAAAAUAAUAAUAGUAAAUAUAGUAAAAAAAAAAGCAAAUCAUAAAAACGCUAAUAGUAUAAAACACUAAUAGUAUAAAACGCUAAUCAUAAAAAAAAAAAAAAGAAGUUAAUUUUAUAAAAAUAAAAUAGUAAAAAUGAAGAUAAAAAUAAAUUUAGGAAAAAGAAAGAGGGGUUUUGAAAUUUCAAUAAUAGAAGGCUUUAAGAGCCUAAUGAAUAAAAUAUUUGGGCAAGGUAUCCAUAAAUAUUUUAAGUUUGUUAAUGUGGCUAUCAUAAUAUUGUUUGUUAUAAUUAUGAAUUAUAUUUUAAAGUUUGACCCCAAAACUGCAAGGAAAAAUAAAAACUUGUUAUAUAUGUACUAUGGAUUCCUAUUAUGUCUCAUCGGAUUUGCUAUCAGCGUAAAUUGGGUACACUAUGAUUAUAUAAAAAACAAAAAAAAGAAGAGCCCAAUGGACAUAAAAUUGAGAUAUACCAAAAAAAAUAGCUGAAGGAAGUAACUUUUUUGCAAUUUUUUCCCUUCUUUGCCCUUUUUACCACUUUUACCUUUUUUUGAAUUUAACAACUAACUUUUGAUUGAUGUUAUAUACAAUGGCUUAUAGCUUAAAGUUUUUUUAUGCUUUGUGAUUUCAUCAUCUUUUUUUAGUGAGUGUUUAGGUUCCUAUUAUCAAGUGGAUUGUUUGAAUUAUUUUUUUAGAACGUGCAUUUAUAUAUAGCGCAUGUCAGUGUUUAUUUUUGUUCUUAUUUUAGUAUGUUUUUUUUUUUUAUCAUACUUUUUUAUGUUUUUAUUAUGUUUGAGCUGCUUUUUUUUUUUUUUUUUUUUUUUUUUUUUUUUUUUUUUUUUUUUUUUUCUCUAUAUACAUAUGCAUAUACAUAAAUUAUUAAUAUUUAGCUUAAUUACCUUAUCAAUAAGAAAAUAUGAAACGUUUAACUGAGUCUUGUCGUUAAAAACCCAUAUACCGUCACCUGUUGGAAUGUUAUUUUUGAAAUUCCCUAUAAAAUAUACUCCUAAAUUUUAAAGGGAAUAAGUAUUAAUGCAUAAAAUGAAUGAACAAUAAUGAACAUAAUAAAAAAAAAUAAAAUGAAUAAAAAAAAUAAACA